CUGCUCUGGUGGCGAGUGGCGAACGGGUGAGUAAUAUAUCGGAACGUACCCUAGAGUGGGGGAUAACGUAGCGAAAGUUACGCUAAUACCGCAUACGAUCUAAGGAUGAAAGUGGGGGAUUCGCAAGAACCUCAUGCUCGUGGAGCGGCCGAUAUCUGAUUAGCUAGUUGGUAGGGUAAAAGCCUACCAAGGCAUCGAUCAGUAGCUGGUCUGAGAGGACGACCAGCCACACUGGAACUGAGACACGGUCCAGACUCCUACGGGAGGCAGCAGUGGGGAAUUUUGGACAAUGGGCGAAAGCCUGAUCCAGCAAUGCCGCGUGAGUGAAGAAGGCCUUCGGGUUGUAAAGCUCUUUUGUCAGGGAAGAAACGGUGGUUUCUAAUACAGAUCACUAAUGACGGUACCUGAAGAAUAAGCACCGGCUAACUACGUGCCAGCAGCCGCGGUAAUACGUAGGGUGCAAGCGUUAAUCGGAAUUACUGGGCGUAAAGCGUGCGCAGGCGGUUUUGUAAGUCUGUCGUGAAAUCCCCGGGCUCAACCUGGGAAUUGCGAUGGAGACUGCAAGGCUAGAGUUUGGCAGAGGGGGGUAGAAUUCCACGUGUAGCAGUGAAAUGCGUAGAUAUGUGGAGGAACACCGAUGGCGAAGGCAGCCCCCUGGGUCAAGACUGACGCUCAUGCACGAAAGCGUGGGGAGCAAACAGGAUUAGAUACCCUGGUAGUCCACGCCCUAAACGAUGUCUACUA
RNAcentral lists this ribosomal RNA (744 nucleotides) under Janthinobacterium sp. UC7209. RNAcentral describes it as "bacterial SSU rRNA". It matches the Rfam family "Bacterial small subunit ribosomal RNA", at positions 80 to 818 of the family's 1533-position model. Lineage: Bacteria; Pseudomonadati; Pseudomonadota; Betaproteobacteria; Burkholderiales; Oxalobacteraceae. The record is from RNAcentral.